This 392-nucleotide ribosomal RNA is filed under the name uncultured bacterium. RNAcentral's name for it is "partial 16S ribosomal RNA". It matches the Rfam family "Bacterial small subunit ribosomal RNA", at positions 523 to 918 of the family's 1533-position model. The record is from RNAcentral.
AUACGUAGGGGGCGAGCGUUGUCCGGAUUUACUGGGCGUAAAGGGUGAGUAGGCGGUUAUAUGUGUCAGAUGUAAAAGGCUAUGGCUUAACCAUAGUUAGCAUUUGAAACUGUAUGACUUGAGUGCAGGAGAGGUAAGUGGAAUUCCUAGUGUAGCGGUGAAAUGCGUAGAUAUUAGGAGGAACACCAGUGGCGAAGGCGACUUACUGGACUGUAACUGACGCUGAGUCACGAAAGCGUGGGUAGCAAACAGGAUUAGAUACCCUGGUAGUCCACGCUGUAAACGAUGAGUGCUAGGUGUUGGACAGCGAUGGUCAGUGCCGCAGUAAACACAUUAAGCACUCCGCCUGGGGAGUACGGACGCAAGACUGAAACUCAAAUGAAUUGACGGGG